This 97-nucleotide transfer RNA is filed under the name Blumeria hordei DH14. Its description in RNAcentral is "tRNA-Leu for anticodon AAG". It matches the Rfam family "tRNA". Rfam says of the family: Transfer RNA (tRNA) molecules are approximately 80 nucleotides in length. Lineage: Eukaryota; Fungi; Ascomycota; Leotiomycetes; Helotiales; Erysiphaceae. The record is from Rfam by way of RNAcentral.
GGACAGAUGGCCGAGCUGGUUAUGGCGCCAGGUUAAGGUAUUAGAUUAUCAUCUCCUGGUCACGAAAGUGGCGUGGGUUCGAGUCCCACUCUGUUCA